GUGAGGGGCGGGAAGAGCGCAGCUGCGAGCAGGCGGGCGGAGGGUAGCGGGAAGCCCGGGCGGAGGGGGCGGCGUGAGAGCCUCGGGGCGGGGGCGGGGCCUGGCGCGUCCGCCGAGCGCGGGGGUUUGUUUAUUUUCCCGGUUGGUAGCGGCGCUGGCGCUGGUUAGAGGUUCGCCGGUGACGUGAGCGCCCGAGUUGGGGGAGAGGACCAGAACCACCUGCUGGAGAAAGGGAGCUACGGGGGCCGGGCAGGGUCCAAACGCCUCACGUGGGCGGCGGCGCCACGGUCUUCGGGGUCACAGGGAAGAGAAGGGCUCUCCUCAAGCGGGUGGAAGGAGGGAGGCCUCCCGAGGGAAUGAGACUCCAGGCCACUCCCCCGCAGCAAGGCAGGAUCACCUGCGUCGCGGAGAGCAGUUAGAGGUCCCUGGAGUGGAAAAGGGCAGUGGGACCUGGUAGCUUGGGUUCCCUGCAACUUGGGGUUCGACCUCCAGGCAAUGAAGUAGGGAUGGUCCUGCAAGUCAAGAUUCCAGUAGCAAGAGUGCAUCAGAUCUCUGUAAGGAAAAUAACUAACAUUGCUCAGUUCCCUGUAGAGUUGCAGGGCGCUUUGACGUUAUCUCCCUUGGUUCUCCAUCAGGUCGUAGUGGACUAAUUUUACAGGCGAAGUUAAGUGACUUACCCAAAACCUCACAGCUAAUAAACGGCAGAGCCGGCACCCAGCUGUACUGGCUUCCAGCGCAUCCCAUUAUCUCCAUAAAUCCCCCUGAUUCAACUAAUAUUAGACGCCCCACAGGUAAGAUGCUUCAGAGUUAGAGGGGAGUUGAAGAUACCUUUGCCUUCAAAGAAGUAAGGAAUGAAACAAAGAUAAAACAGACAAUAAAAGACAAACCAUGAUAGGUGCCACGUGAAAAGUGGCAGAGUACUGCCGGGAAUCAAAGAACCGUGUAUAUCUGUCUUGGGGAUAAGGAAAGAAACGCAGCAUGAAGGAGUAGGCAUUUGGGAUUGACCUUGAAGGAGACAGGGAGAGUUUUACAGCAAGAAGGGAUAGCAUGAGAAUAUAUAUGAAGGCGAAUCAGUGAAAGUUGUGUUGGGGAAAGAGCAAAGACUCCAGGUAUGUUGAGAGGUAGAAAAGACAAAGGAGUAUGGGGCCUAAGAUACCAAAUGGAUGAAUUUAUAUUUAAUUCAGUAUUUUGAGUUUUUAUGGUUCAGAAGUUUGGGGGAAGAAAAGGAAGGUUUUUUUUUUCUUUAUGCUAGUGAUUUAUCUGUGAAGGGAAGCAGAAAUCAGAGGUGGAAAAACUGACAGAUCUACUGUAGGCCAGGUAAAAGGUAAUGAUGAGUCUGACCUAAAGGGACAGCCAGGGGAAUUUAAAGAGCAUAGUUGAGAGAUGAUGUGCAUGCAGAAUCUAUAGAAUUUGCUAACUGAUUGAUUAAUUGUGGGUAGGAAGAGAGAAAUCAAAGAAAGUGGAGGUUUUGAGUUUCUAGAUAAUUGCAAGAGAGAAAAGAGACAAUUACAAAGGAAAGGAGAAGGAGCUACUUCUUGAGAGAAGAUCAGUUUAGAUUUAGACAUUUUAAGAAUUCAAAGGGUUGUCAAGACAGCCAGACGGACAUGGACACUAAUAAGUUAGAAAUAAAGGUUUUGUAAUAUGGGAAAGAGGACUGAGCUAGAAAAUAGACUCAUAGAUAAUCAGCCUAGGAGUGAUAUUGCUGUGAGAUAAAAGAAGAAAACAAAGUCAGAAUCUUGGAAAACACCCUCUUCAGAGUCUCGCUGCUCAAAACGUGGUCAGUGGCCCAGCAGCACUGACAUGAGGACCUUAGUUGGAAACUCAGAAUCUCAGGCUCCACCCCAGACCUGCUGAACCAGCAUCUUCAACUUAACAAGAACCCGAAGAGAUUUGUGCCACAUCAAAAAGUUUGAGAAGCUCUGAUCUAGGUGAGCCAAGCCAGCAAAGAAAGGGGGUGGAGCAGAAAAUGGGAGGAGAAUAGGGUAAUGCAGAAUCAUCAAGACAAGGUAAAUUGGACUUUCACAAAAACGGGGCUGGAAGGAGUGUUGCUCAACAAUAUCCAAAACCACAGAGGUUGAAAAGCACAAGGAAAGAAGCUGGACCCUGGACACGGUGACUCUGAUUCAAUUAUGCAGAUGACCACAAGCCUCUGGGGUUGGCAGAGCCACAAGAAAGAAGGUGCCUGGAUGAAGGAGAGCUACCCACUGACCUGGACACCCAAUUAUAGGAUAGACAGUGAAGUGCAACUACAGCCCGCAAAUGAAAAUGAAUAAAAUUAAUCCAGCCCCUCAAGGCAGUCAUCUGUCUUAGAGCUAUUGGAAUCCUGGAUCAUUGUGGGAAAUGAAAAGAACUGGUUUUUAGCAAGGAGACCAAGAAACUCUACUCCCUAGGGGCUAGCAAUGAGAGAAAGGAAGCCUUGAGUCUUUGAGCACAGGGUGACAGUUUGGGUCCUAUGUGAGAUGAUCAAAUCCACAGCAACAGAGGAAAGGACAAAAGGAAAAGGUCUGUAGCAGCACUACAUCAGAAAAAAUGGAUUCCGCAAGGAAGUGGGUGACUCUGAAUACUUCGAUGGAAUCAGCAGCCAUUGAUCCAAUGCCAACUCCAAGACUGGAACGUCGCAAUGAUAGUUCCAAGGCGGAAAUUUGACGUAAUUCUUUUCGACACAGUUUUACAGGUCUGGAUGCCCAUUUUAAUUCUUCUGAAAGCAUGCCUCCUUCUGGCUUCAGGACUCCAUCUCCAGCCUUAUGAUCUAAAAAUAAUCCCCAAACCAAAAAAUUAGAUAUUAUUUCCUCAAAAUUAGGUGUUUUAAUCAAAACAUCUUAACAUAAAUACAUUAUUAUCACCCAAUAUGCAUAAUGUUGUUCAACUUUUUUGUUAAAUGACUUAUUUUAGAUGAACAGAUGUGUGAAUAUGAAUAUUUUUAUUUCACUUACAGGCAUCUUGCAUGUGAAUAACUCACAACUUUAAUUCAUGGAACAAAUUGAGAAAUAGUCUUUUGGGGGUUUGGUACUCCCUGGAAACAUAAGAGUGCUUUGGGCACCUCUGGUGCCUUUCCAUGCCUGCCUUCUCUGCUGUUCUUGCUACUAGUGAAUUCUAAAUCAUGGCCAAGUGAUGCCAGCACUGGAUAAUAUUGGCUCUGCCCCAUAUCUCGAGGGAAAACUCUGGGACUUGGCAUUAUAUGUGUGGGAAUCUGGCCUUGGUUGGCACUCCCAGCAUGAUAGCAGGGUUCUGCUGUCUGAAUGUACUCUGGGGUGUGCGCCACAAUUUCUGUCAUCGAAAUGGAGAUGAGAGAAUAUGCCCUUGGUGGGGACACCCCACUGGAAUUAGAGUGAAGAGAUCAAAGCUAGAGGUUCUUAAAUCAAAGAAUGUCUAAUAGCAAAGACAAAAACUUGCUUAAGAGAAAUGCAUACAGGUACUAGACCUAAUAUGAUGAAAAAUGCUAACUUCAACAUAUUGAUGCAUGCUUAGUAUACUUUUAGUCCUGCAAAGACAAAAGUUUUUUGUUUGUUUUUUUUUGAGACGGAGUCUCGCUCUGUCGCCCAGGUUGGAGUGCAGUGGUGUGAUCUCGGCUUACUGCAAGCUCUGCCUCCUGGGUUCACACCAUUCUCCUGCCUCAGCCUCCGGAGUAGCUGGGACUACAGGCGCCCGCCACCACGCCCGGCUAAUUUUUUGUAUUUUUAGUAGAGAUGGGGUUUCACCGUGUUAGCCAGGAUGGUCUCGAUCUCCUGACCUCAGGUGAUCCGCCUGCCUUGGCCUCCCAAAGUGCUGGGAUUACAGGCAUGAGCCACCGCACCUGGCCCAGUCCUGCCAAGACAAAGUUUUAAAACACAGGUUGCACAUUGGCAGCUCUCAAGCCAAAUCUGGCCCAUAGACAUGGUUUGCUUGGCCUAUAAUGUUAGUAAUACUUGACCCAAGAUUUAAAAUUUGAAAAGUUUCAUAUAAAAAUAUAGAUUUACAGCUUUUCUAGAAAAACUAUAAGAGUUAACAGUUUCUGAAUUGCAACAGCAGCUGGAACACCGUUGCCACUGACCAUUUAGAUGACUGCUGCAGUCCCCACGGCUCACUCUGGUUCAGGUAGGGGUUCUAGUUUGUAACCCCUGGUUUAAAACAUAACUGACUCUCUAGUUUUUAAAAUUCUCUCAAAAUCAAAUAACCUGAACUAGCAAAUGAUCUAGAUCCUCGUACAUGGAACUCAUACUAAGUUGACCACAGACAGUGGCUCCCAAACUCUGCAGUACAUCAGAGUCACUGGGAAGCUUUAAAAAAUCCUGCUCCCUAGCUGGGUGCAGUGGUUUAUGCCUGUAGCCCCAGCUACUUGAGAGGCUGAGGUGGGAGGAUUGCUCAAGCCCAGGAGUUUGAGGCUGCAGUGAGCCAUGAAUGUACCACUACACUCCAGCCUGGGCAACAGAGCAAGACCCCAACUCUAAAAAAAAAUCCUGCUCCCCAGGUGACAGUAUCUGGGGGAAGGAGUAAGGCAUCUUAUUUUCAAAAGAUCAUAAGAAAAGAGGCUCAUUGCUGAGGCUCACUCCGGAGCCCACUUGGAUUCUUCACAAGAAAGUUUCCCUCUUCCAGAAUUUUAUAAUUGAGGGAACCGACUAGGGAAAGAUUAAUUUGCCCAAGGUCAAACAACUAGUAAAAGAAGUAAGGAUUCCAACCCAGAUCUUUUGACUCUAUUAUCCUUACAUAUAGUUUUAUAGUGAUUUAAAUUGAUACAAGGAUAGGUUUAAAUACAAGUAGAAUGCAGGUUCAUAUAAAACUGAUUUUAUCCUCAUGUUAGAAAACAUAUACACUGUAACAGAGGGAUGACCAUCAAGUGACCAAGAUAUUUUAGUCAAAAGAUGAAUUUUUCUGCAAUUGGAGAAUGCCAAAAAUAUUCAAAGAAAAUAUAAGUCUUGUAGGCAGUCUUCUAUCAAAACCCACUGAACCGCUGGGCACGGUGGCUCAUGCCUGUAAUUCCAGCACUUUGGGAGGCCAAGGCUGGUGGAUCACCUGAGGUCAGGAGUUUGAGACCAGCCUGGCCGACAUGGUCUCUACUAAAAAUACAAAAAAUUAGCUGGGCCUGGUGGCGGCACCUGUAAUCCCAGCUACUGAGGAGGCUGAGGCAGGAGAAUUGUUUGAACCUUGGAGGUAGAGGCUGCAGUGAGCUGAGAUAGCACCACUGCACUCCAGCCUGGGUAACAAGAGUGAAACUCCAUUCAAAAACAAAAAACAAACAAAAAAAAAACAAUGCACCAAAUACUAAGUUAUUAACUAGGAUACUGAUUAUUAAGCAUGUAAAACAUUUUAUGGAACUCAGAGUUUGAUGUAAAUUGCUAUAUUUUAUAAUUCAAACAAACCUUGUUUCAUGUCAUUAUAUUAGAGUAGCAUUAUGAGACAGGAUAUAGUGUAAGCUAUAUCCCCAAUAUAAUUGCAACUGUAUAUUUUAAAGCAUGGGGAAAAUAUGAAAAGAAUUAUGCUCAAAUGUGGGUAGGAUUAUAACUGAUUUGUUUUCUUCAUUUUCAGAUUUUUCUAUAAUGACUAUACAUUAUUUUUAUAGUCAAAAAUAGAAGUAUUUUAAAUGUUUCUAGGUAGAAUAGCAAAUUAGCUGAAAUAGUAUCUCCAACGUUAUUAUCAAGACUAGACUCCUUGGGUAAAUUGGUCAGAACAGUGUUGUUCUCAUUUUACACCUCUCCAAGAUUAACUAUGUUUUAGAUUUGUGUGUGUGUUUGGUUAAAGAGCCAGGAUGAAGAUCCAGAGUUCUUAAACCUGUAUACCACCAUACUACAUUGUCAUUUUAAAGAAAUGUCUAGUAGACUCGGUGGCAUAAACAUGGGCCAUUUACAAACUAGAUGUCUAAUAUCAGAUACCUCAAAUUUGACAGUAGACUUUUUUUCAAAGCUAAAGUGGUCUUAUGUUGACUAUUUUGUUUCUUACUUGAUACUUGUUUACUUUUUAAUUUUUGGCAAGUAAUGUUUCAAGUUAAAGUUUUAGCUAUAUAUAGCAGGCAGUAUUUCAAGUAAAUGAGUUACAUCAGUAAACACCUCUGUAUUACUAAACUGAGAAUCAGAAAAUGUAAUCUCUUUGGCAGGAUUCGUAUGUUUGUAUCACGUCUUUAUCCUCAGGCAACUUUUAUCUUGGAAUACUGAACCAGCAGUCAGAAUAUGAGGGACAUUAGACUGUGUUAUAGUUACUGUUCUGUCCUUAAGUCACUUGCCUUCUCUAAGUGUCAGUUGCCUCAUCUGAAAAUGGAGUUAGCAGACCCCAGCCUAUCCUGAGUUUGAGGGCUAAAGGGAAUUAUUCUUGAAAAUGUCUAUACAUGAUAAAUGUCACAAAUAUAACUUAGCAUUUUUUUUUUGAGACAGAGUUUCGCUCUUGUGGCCCAGGUCGGGGUGCAAUGUCGUGAUCUCAGCUCACUGCAACCUCUGCCUCCCGGGUUCAAGCGAUUCUCCUGCCUCAGCCUCCUGAGUAGCUGGGAUUACAGGCAUGCACCACCACACCUGGCUAAUUUUGUAUUUUUUAAUAGAGACGGGGUUUCACCAUGUUGGUCAGGUUGGUCUCGAACUCCUACCCUCCGGUGAUCCACCCGCCUUGGCCUCCCAAAGUGCUGGGAUUACAGGCAUGAGCCACCGCACCUAGCCAAUUCUACUUCUAUUACAUUUUCAGCAUAUAUCACUUCAUUGCUCCUCCAUAUUAUUUUUCACUGGUCUUCUUACAUCUUGUGUGCCCAUAUUUAAGUAGUUUUCUUUCCAGGUAAAAAAUACAUGUGUGCCUAAAAGAUUUUAAAGUCAACUUUUCAUAAACCAUACCUAAAUUAUCAAAGUUAUUAGAAUUAUUAGAAAGUAUUAGCUAAUUCUUUUAUAAAAUGUAGACUUUAUUAUUUUAGAAAUAUUGAUUCCUCUCUAUUCAGCUAUCUUAAAGAGGGUAUAUUUUAAUCAUCGCAAUAUAUUACCUUCAUAGUAUUUUUUACUUUUGCAAAGUAUAUUUUGUCAUGUUAUUUCAUUUAGGAAUGCACUAAAUCUACAUAUCUACAUAUGAUUAUACAAGGAAACAUCUUUGUCUCAAAAAUGGGUUCUAUUACAUUUUUUAAUUUCCAGGGGUCAUGAUAUAUAAAAAGACCUGAUUUAUCUUAAAAAUACAUACUUUUAUUCUUACCUACCAUACAUCUUUUUUUGUGAUAAUCAGAAGGCUUAAUUUACUAUAAAAUAGGAAAACAACAGCUAUGUUAGAUUAUAUAGUUAAUUUAGGGAUUAAAUGAGUUAAGGUCUACAAGCCCCUGGCACAUGGCAGACAAUCAAUAAUUGAUCAUUUCCUUUGCAUCUAUAAAUUUGUUCAUUCACUUCUCAUGUGGUUCUACCUUAGACAACGAUUUUUGUUUACAGAGACAAAUAGAAGUAUCUAAUCCUAAAUAACCCAAUCAAUUGGUAAAGGCUACACUACAAAGCUGGCAUGACUUCACCAAAUGCUAGAGAAACAGUGUUAAGAGUGACAACACUAAAAGUCUUACACUCUGAUGAUGCUAGUUGCCGCCGAAUUGCUUCCCCUACCAGUUCCUUAAGUUUCUUCUUAUGAUCCCGGCUGGUUUUCUUAUAGAAAUAAAGAUCUUUUUCCAACUGCUGGAUUUUAUCUUCAUAUGUUUUGAAAGUUUCCAUAAUGCCUUCUCCAUCUUGUUCUAUACAACAAAAAUUUGCAUUUAAAAUCAGUUUUAAAUAAAUGAUGCAAAAUUAUGUUUUUGUUUGUUUCUUUGUCUUUUUGAAACGGAGUCUUGCACUGUCGCCCAGGCUAGAGUGCAGUGGCGUGAUAUGCUCGGCUCACUGUAAGCUCCGCCACCCAGGUUCACACCAUUCUCCUGCCUCCGCCUCCCAAGUAGCUGGGACUACAGGUGCCCAGCACCACGCCCGGCUAAUUUUUUUGUAUUUUUAGUAGAGACGAGGUUUCAUCAUGUUAGCCAGGAUGGUCUCGAUCUCCUGACCUCGUGAACUGCC
Molecule: long non-coding RNA, 7961 nt
Filed under: Homo sapiens (human)
Lineage: Eukaryota; Metazoa; Chordata; Mammalia; Primates; Hominidae
Description: HSALNT0151293
Source: RNAcentral